Molecule: long non-coding RNA, 393 nt
Filed under: Oryza sativa Indica Group (long-grained rice)
Lineage: Eukaryota; Viridiplantae; Streptophyta; Magnoliopsida; Poales; Poaceae
Description: lncRNA OsMH63_08G005540
Source: RNAcentral
GAAGGAGUCAAAGCUCUAGUUUGCAACGCUUGGGGGCGAGAGUUCACGAGCUCACCUGCACCUAGAGGAGGAGGCACUCCAAGAUGUGGCGAGGAGCAGGAGCUCAAUUUCGUCGGCACAUGGAGGAGGAAAGUGCUCGAGGAAACGGGGAUGCUGCGGGAAGCCAAAGGUCUACCUCGCCAGCAGAUGGAAGAGGCACUUGGGGAGAAGGAGUUUAACCUCGCCGGUUGGAAGGUGAAGUAUGGUAGGCUGGCUGGCAUACAUGGUGACAUAUACGCCUCUCCCAGGGACCAUAUAUGUGCUUCUCUGCGUAACUGGGCUCUGCCAAUAGCUGACCCACUAUUCAAGACAAGGUAUAAAGCCAGUCCCUACACAAGAACCAAAGCCAAGUAA